RNAcentral lists this microRNA precursor (167 nucleotides) under Pelobates cultripes (western spadefoot toad). Lineage: Eukaryota; Metazoa; Chordata; Amphibia; Anura; Pelobatidae. The record is from RNAcentral.
GGUCAGCUGACACAUCCCUGCCAAUCUCCGGCAGACCCUCCCUCCCACACCCUCCUACUUCCUGGACAGCAUCCAUGUUGAAGGCAGCUUCAACAUGGAUGCUGUCCAGGAGGUGGGAGGGUCUGGGAGGGAGGGUCUGCCGGAGAUUGGCAGGGAUGUGUCAGCUG